Long non-coding RNA from Dalotia coriaria, 691 nucleotides. RefSeq lists it as uncharacterized. NCBI's taxonomy places the organism in Eukaryota, Metazoa, Arthropoda, Insecta, Coleoptera, Staphylinidae. The transcript is spliced from 2 exons. The record is from RefSeq and is a predicted model, not a curated record.
UUUCUCUUAUUUUCUUCGUCAUCACAAAUCACAACAUUAUAUUUUAAUAAAAAUUGCGUCAAAUAUUGCACUAUACUGUUUAUAUGUUAUACGGUUUAUGUUACGGUAUUUAUUUAUAAAUUAUUAAGAGAAAUUCUCCAAGGACGCCCAAACAUCAUGUCCUUGUGUUUUGGCAUAACCUAGGAUAAGGAAAAACUUGAUUACCAUGAUUACACCUUUCGAUGAAUUCGUGUAUUUAAUUAAUCAUGUCGUACUUGGGGACGAACCGUUAUCCCAAAAGAUGAAGAUGAUGAAGAACACAGACUGGUUAUCAAACGAGAUGAACUUAAUUACACGCAACGAAUUGAGUCAAAUUGUUAGGUACGCAAACCAAGAAAUAAAAACAAAAUGAAAGCAACCUGUAAUAAAGUAAUACUAAUUGACCAGGGUAUAAACAAAUAUUGAUAUAAAUUUUGAAGGUAGUGAUGACGAUUGAAAAUCUACAUGUGGUCGUUAAUUUUUUCAUGGCCUAUUGGUUUUUAUAGCGCGGCUAUGUCCUUGCAUAAAUAUAUUGAUGUAUUUUCAUAUCUACUGAACUACAAGUUAUUGUAUAAAAUGUGAAUAACUGUAUCAAAUUUAAAUUUGUAAAUGUUAUCUAGUCCUAUAUUUAUUGAUUGCUAUAUUUUAGUAUAAUAAAUGUACAUACACAAUA